CACCUUUUUGUGUUCCUUGAGCUCAGUCAGGAAGGGCCCUCAUGACUGGGCCUCAUGCCAAAAAACUAGUUACAAAGAAGCUAGAGUUCCAGACUGCGCCUAAGCUUCAUGAGACCUCUCCUCGUCUGCACAGACGAGUGGCCAACACUGGAGCCCAGGCUAUUGCUUCCCAGUCUGGUGGUGAAUCGUCCAUAGUCUGGGACAGGCAGGGGAGCCCAGCGGCAUGCUGGAUAUGAAUGUAUCUUCAGCCUUCAAGUUACCAUUGGCCAGAGGGAAGAGUGGCCCCAAACUCUGAAGAGCGCUGGCAAGGCUCCCCAUCUUCCUCUCCCUAGCCUCCACAGGAACAUCACAGUAUGGCUUGGCAUUUUUUUUUUUUUUUUGAGACGGAGUCUCACUCUGUCACCCAGGCUGGAGUGCAGUGGUGUGAUCUCAGCUCACUGCAAGCUCUGCCUCCCGGGUUCAUGCCAUUCUCCUGCCUCAGCCUCCCGAGUAACUGGGACUACAGGCGCCCGCCACCACGCCCAGCUAAUUUUUUGUAUUUUUAGUAGAGACGGGGUUUCACUGUGUUAGCCAGGAUGGUCUCAAUCUCCUGACCUUGUGAUCUGCCCGCCUCAGCCUCCCAAAGUGCUGGGAUGACAGGCGUGAGCCACGCGCCCAGCCUGGCUUGGCAUCUUUAGGGCAGAUCUCAGUAUGCCUUGCAUUCCAAUUCAUCUCCAGAAUCCUACACUUCCUCCAAGGUCAGUCCUCAUGCGAGUCUCCAACCUCAUCCCCACUUCAUUUUCCUCAUUGUACUUACCAUCUUUUAUUCGUAUCCCACCAAAUUUUGGCUUUGUUAGCUAUACUGCAAAUAGUAGAUGCUCAAUAAACUACUAGUGAAUGAAUGAA
RNAcentral lists this long non-coding RNA (885 nucleotides) under Homo sapiens (human). Its description in RNAcentral is "HSALNT0381087". The record is from RNAcentral. Lineage: Eukaryota; Metazoa; Chordata; Mammalia; Primates; Hominidae.